This 497-nucleotide ribosomal RNA is filed under the name uncultured bacterium. RNAcentral describes it as "partial 16S ribosomal RNA". It matches the Rfam family "Bacterial small subunit ribosomal RNA", at positions 28 to 507 of the family's 1533-position model. The record is from RNAcentral.
GAUGAACGCUGGCGGCGUGCCUAACACAUGCAAGUCGAGCGAACAGACGAGGAUCUUGCUUCUCUGACGUUAGCGGCGGACGGGUGAGUAACACGUGGAUAACUUACCUAUAAGACUGGGAUAACUUCGGGAAACCGGAUCUCAUACCGGAUAAUAUAUUGAACCGCAUGGUUCAUUAGUGAAAGACGGUUUUGCUGUCACUUAUAGAUGUUUCCGGGCCGCAUUAGCUAGUUGGUAAGGUAACGGCUUACCAAGGCGACGAUGCGUAGCCGACCUGAGAGGGUGAUCGGCCACACUGGAACUGAGACACGGUCCAGACUCCUACGGGAGGCAGCAGUAGGGAAUAUUCCGCAAUGGGCGAAAGCUUGACGGAGCAACGCCGCGUGAGUGAUGAAGGUCUUCGGAUCGUAAAACUCUGUUAUUAGGGAAGAACAGAUGUGUGAGAAACUAUGCACGUCUUGACGGUACCUAAUCAGAAAGCCACGGCUAACUUCGUG